This is a long non-coding RNA of Andrographis paniculata, 958 nucleotides long. RefSeq lists it as uncharacterized. The record is from RefSeq and is a predicted model, not a curated record. The transcript has 4 exons. NCBI's taxonomy places the organism in Eukaryota, Viridiplantae, Streptophyta, Magnoliopsida, Lamiales, Acanthaceae.
CAGAAAACAUAAAGGAUAAUAGUAGAAAUCUGGGGAAAAAGGACGCGUCUUUAUCGUUUGAGGGUAUCAUUAGAUCGUCGGUGGGGGAUAGCGUGGACUUUGAGGAUGCAGUAGUCGAAAUGGAAGUGGAAAGUCAACGACGCAGAGGAAAAGAUCUUCCAUCUACUUUUAAACCCCACCGGAACUAGGAAAUAUCAUCAAACUAACGGAUGGGCAACUCGAAUUGGCAAGACAAGAGUCUACUACCAAAGUAGGUGCUUACGAGGUGGACAAAAAUGUGGUUCGAAAAGGAAUGGGGCAUCCAAUGUUGUCACAAAGGCGAAGUGCAAGCAAUAUCGGGACACAUAAAGCCAAUGAAACAAGCCACGGGAUGCAGCUCUUGUCAGUCCAAGCGACACGAAGCUUGAGUAUUCUCUACAUACCUGUAGUUACGAUUAUUGUAUCACAUAUCUACAACAGUUAUAUCUCAAAAUGUGUUGGAUGUAAUUAUUUUGUUUUGCAAACCCAAGUCAACAAUCAAGUGAGCAAGCCACUCUCUGAAAGCAAAACUCAGGCAACCGUGGACAAAGGAAAAAAUUUAACCGAAAUGACUUAUAGCACAAUACCAAAACCGCCAACAAUGUUCGAGUGAAAUGUCUCGACCGCAACGUGUUUCAGAUCCUCCAAAUUACGAUGAUGUUUCUUUUAUUGAGCUUCCAGCGCAUGUCCGUCAACAACAAUUUGAGGAGAAUAUGGAGUUCAACAAGCGGCAUCGAAUACGGACUGGGGCAAAGACAACUCGAGCAUCCAAAAAGAGCAAACAACUUGUGUUUUAGUUUCCGUAAAAUGGUGUAUAUGGAUUGAAAUGGGCAUGGUUAAAUGUGGUUGAAUCAUGUUCUCUUUGUCAUUGCACAGAAAUUAAGUUGUCUACAAGUUCGAUUAGCCUAUCUAUUUUGAACAUGUUUUGUAGUUGGUGUGC